GAGAAAGGCUUUCUUUCCGUGAUACCAUAGCCUCACAGGACAGCCUGCGUUCCGUGAAGACACUUGGAUGCCUGGAACUGCUGCAGCCACCUUAUGACCAUGAGGAGCUGGGACUGGUGAGGAUAAUACCACCAGGAUCUUGUGUGGAUAAAAUGAGAUGAAAGAUUUGUAGAUGCUCAAGCAUCCAUGACAGUGCCUUAUUACUGCAGCAGCCUGAAAACUGACAGCUUUAAAGAUGAGGAAGUGUUGUGGGGAAGCCAUCAGUCUCACUGUAAACCACUGAUAGAUGACUCAACUGAAUACUCAAGGGGCUUUUCUACUGGGCCGCCCUCCCACUUGGCCACGCCCAGCCAGAGGCCUGAGAACUGCAGCGUGAAGGGGCCAGAACCGCGGAGGUAAAAGGCCAGGGGUGAAGCUGAGGCUCACGCACAUCCCCGCUCAUUAUGAACUGUUGUACGCUUUACAGGAGGGACCACAUUCUCGUAUCUGUGAACGCUCCCUUACUUGUUAAACUAAAGAAAUACAUCCUCCUCGUCAUUCUCCUCAAAGGAUCCUUUUAUACAACGGUACAUUUUUCUCGUUUGCAGAUUGUCAUGAGCUCAGGGUCUUUCAUGUGUUUGCUCUAAUGAGUCACAUUAUUAGAUGGCCAAAUUGUCAGACUUGUCGUGUGAACACCUUUAGGAUGGCCCUGGUAUUCUUGAAAGCAUUCUUCCUUUCUGGCAACUGUAAAGAUGAUCCAGAACUGUAAAGAUGAUCCAGAACUGAUUUCCUCCUGCCCCAACACAGGAAAUCCGUGGAGUCCUGAUUCCAUUAAUAGAGAA
This is a long non-coding RNA of Piliocolobus tephrosceles (Ugandan red Colobus), 821 nucleotides long. RefSeq lists it as uncharacterized. Lineage: Eukaryota; Metazoa; Chordata; Mammalia; Primates; Cercopithecidae. The record is from RefSeq and is a predicted model, not a curated record. The transcript has 3 exons.